AUAAAGUCUAACCUGCCCACUGAAUAUUGUUUAAAGGGCCGCAGUAUUUUGACUGUGCAAAGGUAGCAUAAUCAUUAGUCUUUUAAUUGAAGGCUGGUAUGAAUGGUUGGAUGAGAUACAAGCUGUGUCAUAAAAAUUAAAAUUUGAAUUUACCUUUUUAGUCAAAAGGCUAAAAUAUUCUUAAAAGACGAGAAGACCCCAUAGAGCUUUAUAUAACUAAUAUUUAAACUAUUUAGAUUUAUUAAGUUAAAUUAUUAUUUUGUAUUUUGUUGGGGUGACAAUAAAAUUAAUAAAACUUUUAUUUUUAUUAAACAUUAAUUUAUGAAUAAAUGAUCCAGUUUUAUUGAUUAUAAAAUUAAGUUACCUUGGGGAUAACAGCGUAAUUUUUUUUGAGAGUUCUUAUCGACAAAAAAGAUUGCGACCUCGAUGUUGGAUUAAGAGUAAUUUUGGGUGUAGAAGUUCAAAGUUUAAGUC
RNAcentral lists this ribosomal RNA (474 nucleotides) under Simulium hargreavesi. RNAcentral describes it as "partial 16S ribosomal RNA". It matches the Rfam family "Bacterial large subunit ribosomal RNA", at positions 1845 to 2577 of the family's 2925-position model. Lineage: Eukaryota; Metazoa; Arthropoda; Insecta; Diptera; Simuliidae. The record is from RNAcentral.